This 72-nucleotide transfer RNA is filed under the name bovine gut metagenome. It matches the Rfam family "tRNA". From Rfam's summary of the family: Transfer RNA (tRNA) molecules are approximately 80 nucleotides in length. The record is from RNAcentral.
GAGGCAUAGCUCAGCUGGUUAGAGCGUUCGCUUCACACGCGAGAGGUCAUGAGUUCGAGUCUCUUUGUCUCC